This is a non-coding RNA of Phascolarctos cinereus (koala), 459 nucleotides long. NCBI's taxonomy places the organism in Eukaryota, Metazoa, Chordata, Mammalia, Diprotodontia, Phascolarctidae. The record is from RefSeq and is a predicted model, not a curated record.
AAGUUCUUGAAAUCUAGGGAAAAUAACUUAGAUUUUAUACACCUUCCCAGAUUCUCUAGUGACAACUGUUUGAGUACAGAGAAGAAUGCCAUGAAAGGAGGGAGAUGCUUUCAAAAGAGCACUGUCAAGCCUGAGGAGGAAAAACAAGGAUAAGGAGAAAGGACUAAAAGGAGAAACCAUGUUUUGUUCCCUCUUGUGCAAGAGGAAAUAAAGGAAGAAAGGAGGGCAAACUUUUGGUUAACCUCUACAAAACUGGUCGAUACAAACAAAACAGCUAAGUUUCUGCAGACAACUUACUAACCCUUCAGUUCUAAAUCCCACAAUACUAUGGUGACAGUUGACAGAAGCCAUGUCUCCUUAAAUACUUGGGAAGAACAACCCUGAAGUGCUGCAAAUAUCCUUCUUAUGCUGUGUGGUGGACAAAAUGGCACGUUUGAAAGUUCAGAGGCUCCUUGAGAG